Mugil cephalus (flathead mullet) is the source of this 606-nucleotide long non-coding RNA. RefSeq lists it as uncharacterized. Lineage: Eukaryota; Metazoa; Chordata; Actinopteri; Mugiliformes; Mugilidae. The transcript has 2 exons. The record is from RefSeq and is a predicted model, not a curated record.
GUCCAGGAGUGAAGCAGCUGCGUGAUCUUGUGAAGAGUCCACACUAUAAACUGGAGACUCUGAGCGACUGGUGACCAUCUCCUCCGAGGUGAGAGUGAACAGGAUGAGCUGUGUCCUGAUGGUCCAGAGAGAGGUUGAAGCAGACUGUGCCUGGACCAUGUUACUGGGAGGUGGAGAGGAGACCUUCAUCCACAUGGUCUCCAUUUAUGACCAUCAACAGAGCUGCAUGUGAACUCUUCACAGAGCUCCAACAGAUCCAGUCCCUCAUGAAUGAUUCAGACACGUCCAUCAACAACACGCCAGCAUCAACAGUUCUUCCUGCUGGUUUCCAGUGUUCACACCAUUUAUCUUUGUUAAUGAAGACUUAGUGGUUUCCAGAACAAAGUUUGAAGCUGAAGACAAUUUUUUGAAUGUAUUUUAGUGUAUAUAUGUUUUAGUAUAUUUCAUGUUUAGCAUUUUUUCAUUUAUUUCCCUGUAAUAUUUAAUAUAUUUAAUAUUUCGUACACCAGAAACGUAUACAGUAACUAUUGUAUUUAAUUUGCUAAACCUUAAACUAUGUGAUGAUGCUGCUGUGGAAUAAAUCUGUACAGCCUGGUACAAAAACUU